This 254-nucleotide ribosomal RNA is filed under the name uncultured bacterium. Its description in RNAcentral is "partial 16S ribosomal RNA". It matches the Rfam family "Bacterial small subunit ribosomal RNA", at positions 524 to 776 of the family's 1533-position model. The record is from RNAcentral.
UACGGGGGGAGCAAGCGUUGUUCGGAUUUACUGGGCGUAAAGGGCGCGUAGGCGGUCAGCACAAGUCAGUUGUGAAAUCUCCGGGCUUAACCCGGAAAGGUCAACUGAUACUGUGCGACUAGAGUGCGGAAGGGGCAACUGGAAUUCUCGGUGUAGCGGUGAAAUGCGUAGAUAUCGAGAGGAACACCUGCGGCGAAGGCGGCAUCCUGGACCGAUACUGACGCUGAGGAGCGAAAGCCAGGGGAGCAAACGGG